CGGUAAAGGAGCGGUUUAUGUGCUUGAGUGUUUCUGUGUGUGUGAUUUGAUUUAUUAUAAGCCGGCAUUUAUUUUAAGGACUUUGUGAUUUAAUUACAUCUGUAUUUUGUGCUUUUGUCUGUGUAUGUCUUGUUGGGUACCAUAUAUGUUAAUUGUAAUCUAUACAAUCUGUAUCGUUACUCUCCUAUUCUAUCUUUUGUCCUAAGGAGAGCUGUGCUUAGGCAAUCACAUGGUUAAAAAACUUUGUGCUUGCAAGUCUUCCUCCCUCCUCCCCCCUCCUUCUUUGUUGCUUUCUCUUGCUCUGACUGCUAUGAGUAUUGGCUACAGGGGGGGUGAAUGGGUGAAAUGCUUGUAAACUCAGUGAGGAAUGUGAGGGAAACAAGGUAUAUUUGCUGGACGAAUAACCUAGUUAGGAACUUUGUGUAAUCUUGUAUAUGUUGUUAAGUAAGAGGUUAUUGGCAUGUUGGAAUAAGGAAAGUUAGAUUUUGUUGGAACAAAUGAAUUGUGGAAUUCAUAAAUGAUAAUGCAGAGAAAAGUAAAUUGCAGUUUGCAUGUAAUAGCAGCUAUUCAGAUGCUGUAUUGUGGCAAUCUUUAUACACACAAUGUGAAAUUGCCAAUAGUGAAAUUGACAAGAAAUUGUUUGUUAAUAAGAAAAAAAACAAAAGAUCAGAAAUGUUAUGAAACUAGUCUGUACUUACAAUGCAUUGAUUUGUAAACGAGAUGCAGGUCAAGAAAAUUUAGAAUCAGCAGAUAAAGAAAUAGAUUUGAAUGGGUUAACAGAAGACAAAUCAGAUUUAAAUGAACAGUGUAACAAUGUAACAGAGAGAACAUUGUCAGAAAAAGUCUGUGAAUUAG
Non-coding RNA from Pelobates cultripes (western spadefoot toad), 855 nucleotides. The record is from the annotation of a GenBank genome assembly. NCBI's taxonomy places the organism in Eukaryota, Metazoa, Chordata, Amphibia, Anura, Pelobatidae.